This 95-nucleotide microRNA precursor is filed under the name Cyprinus carpio (common carp). RNAcentral describes it as "microRNA ccr-mir-18b precursor". Its record names the gene ccr-mir-18b. The stretch from base 6 to 87 matches the Rfam family "mir-17 microRNA precursor family". From Rfam's summary of the family: This family represents the microRNA (miRNA) precursor mir-17, family, which includes mir-20, mir-91, and mir-103. miRNAs are transcribed as ~70nt precursors (modelled here) and subsequently processed by the Dicer enzyme to give a ~22nt product. In this case the mature sequence comes from the 3' arm of the precursor. The extents of the hairpin precursors are not generally known and are estimated based on hairpin prediction. Lineage: Eukaryota; Metazoa; Chordata; Actinopteri; Cypriniformes; Cyprinidae. The record is from miRBase by way of RNAcentral.
AACUACUGCUUAUGCUAAGGUGCAUUUAGUGCAGAUAGUGAAAUAGACUAGCACCUACUGCUCUAAGUGCCCCUUCUGGCAUAAGGGGCUGGCAA